This 103-nucleotide small nuclear RNA is filed under the name Saimiri boliviensis boliviensis (Bolivian squirrel monkey). The record is from RNAcentral. Lineage: Eukaryota; Metazoa; Chordata; Mammalia; Primates; Cebidae.
CUGCUUUGGCAGCACAUAUACUAAAACUGGAACGAUACAGAGAAUAUAAGCAUGGCACCUGCAUAUGGAUGGCACGCAAAUUCCUGUAGUGUUCCAUUAAAAC